RNAcentral lists this microRNA precursor (85 nucleotides) under Solanum tuberosum (potato). RNAcentral's name for it is "MIR8024 microRNA precursor family". It matches the Rfam family "MIR8024 microRNA precursor family". The record is from Rfam by way of RNAcentral. Lineage: Eukaryota; Viridiplantae; Streptophyta; Magnoliopsida; Solanales; Solanaceae.
UUUUAAGAUUUAAAGAUUUCAACUUACAUACUUGGCUGAUUUGAGACCCUAAUUUGCAGACUUGAAGAAUUUGAAGAUUUGAAAU